RNAcentral lists this signal recognition particle RNA (148 nucleotides) under Gorilla gorilla gorilla (western lowland gorilla). RNAcentral's name for it is "Metazoan signal recognition particle RNA". It matches the Rfam family "Metazoan signal recognition particle RNA". Rfam says of the family: The signal recognition particle (SRP) is a universally conserved ribonucleoprotein. It is involved in the co-translational targeting of proteins to membranes. The record is from Rfam by way of RNAcentral. Lineage: Eukaryota; Metazoa; Chordata; Mammalia; Primates; Hominidae.
GCCAGGCGUGGUGGCGCGUGCCUGUAAUCCCAGCUACUCAGGAGGCUGAGGCAGGAGAAUCGCUUGAACCCAGGAGGUGGAGGUUGCAGUGAGCCGAGAUCACGCCACUGCACUCCAGCCUGGGUGACAGAGUGAGACUCUGUCUCAA